CUCCUCUGAUUUUGUACCUACCUUCCCUCUGCCUACUCUCUCCCUCCCAAACAGAUUAUGUUAAGGAUGACUCUGGAAGAGGAGAUGGCUGGAAAAACACAAGAAGCACACACAUCUGUGCUCUCUCUCUCCCCCCACUGGGUUGCUGAGCACACAUAGAAACCCCAGACUGCAGUCCCCAGCAGGCCUGUGACAAACCACAAGCAGGACAUGUUAACUGUGAUUCUCUCACAAAGUCCUUUUUAGGCUACACCAGCAGAUUUUACUCUUCUUCCUUCUCCAGGUUGCUGUGGGAGUGUAACUGAUGCACUUCAUUAGGGUUUGAAAUUGUCUUGUGAUUCUACUCCUGUAGCUUUGGAUAGAUUCAGGCCUGAUGGACUGGAAAUCAGAUGACAAACCAGAGGAAAUCCCACAGGCUGUGGCUGCUGAGGGUUGUUGGUGUGGAUGUGGCAAUGAAAGUGCCUUGUCCUGCUCCCAGCAAAUGGAAGUGGUGGUUUGGUGAGGGUGUCACUAUCCCAGGGAUGUUUUCCAUUCUCACUCUGCCAGAGCUGCUCCUGCUGAUGCAGCUGAACUGAGAUGGGAAACCAGGAGCCAAGAAAUCAAGCAUAGGCAAGAUCCAGAGUUUGCUUACAAGAAAGUUCUUUUGACACCUCUGUGAAGAAGAAUCUGGAAAUCAAAAACUUGAGCUGGUUCUGGGCACAAGCAUAAUAUUGCUCCUUACUGAUGUCUAGCAGUUACCUAAAAGACUGAAUAUAUAACUUGGCUUUUCAGGUGAUACAUUUGUUUUCCUCGUGCUUCACAAGCCCUGUUCUUGCUGCUGCUCAGGAUUCAGAAAUGCCAUCACAUCCAGCAGUUUGUAGUGCUUUCCCCAGUGUGUUGCUGUGUUCAGCUCCCUCAGACAGUCACACUGGGCUCUACAGUCACACGUGUUUUGCAAUAUUCCUCUGCCACUCAUUUCCAUCAGCGCUGUCUCUGCUGCGAAGUUUUGUCACAGGACAAGAUGGACAGCGUUGUUCAGAGCAUUUCCCAGAGGCUCAAUAAGACUUUUUGUUUCUGAAGUCAAGGGUUUGUUAAACUUCCUGGGAAUGAGACAGUCCCCACCCUCUUGGAAGAUCAGGAGAAGCAGGUCCAAGGAAGAAAGGAGAUUAAACACCAGCUACUGGAUUGAUGGACCCCUUUGCUUUACUUCCUUCAUAAUAUAUGGACAUAAACCAAAAUCUUCCAUCUCACGCUUUGACAUUUCUGGCAAACAUAAAAUACAGACCAAUAGAAAAACAAAAGUAGCACAUACCAGGAAUCAGUUCCACAAACCCAACUUUGUUUUACUUUGCUGCCACAAAACCCUUAUCCCCAUAUUGUUAAAAUAAUUCCUUCUCUUCCCUCCUACAUUUAAGUUCAGCUCCCUUGAUAGAUAGUCCAUUCCUUUUUAGUGUCUACUGUCUUUGUGGUAACAUUUUUAUUUGCUGGAUGAAAGGGUAGGAAACCCACUGGUGAUUUUCCUUUGCUGUUUAUUUUAUGCAGAAUUUCCUCAGAUGCUCCAGCGUGGGUAUCUGGGGAUCUUUUCUUCUGUAGUACCCAGCAUGGAAGAGUCUUGAACCCUGUUACACAUACAGUAAAUACUCAGCAUUAGCAACAUAUCAAUGCUUAGUUGUCCUUAAAUAAUUGUUGUUGCCACUGGCUGGAAAACAGAAUAAAUGGGAGGGGAGGGAUACCCUGGGCAAGUAUUGAUUGCUGUUCCAAGAUAUUGCCAAAAAAUGAGAUCCACAGAAACUACAGUAAAACAUUACAGUACAAGUUGGUGAGAUACCGUGUUCUGAAUUGUUUUCAACUUUGCUGAUAAUAUUAUUGAUCUUCUAUAUCCAAGGGGACUUGGUUUCCUAAGUAUUUUCAUUACAGCUUCUGGCUCACCUACAAGCACACUAAACCAAGAAUACUUUGUCUGGGGAAGUAAGUGGUCUCUGGUCUGCCUUGCCCUUGAAUUGAAUCUGACUUCUAAGAGACUUCCUCAGCCCUGAUGUCGUCAGCAGAGCACAGUGUUAUGUUGGAACAUGAGGAAAAUAUUAGAUCAUGGAAAAUAACUUACUCUAAUUCUUUCAUCCUAGGUUAUUGUUCUUUUAGAGUCAUAACAAAUUAGGAAGACUAUGUAGAGCAGGGAAAAAGAAGAAAAACACCUUACCCCAAAAAACCCCCAUGGAAGAAAGCAGACCCUGGCUCAUGAUGUCUUUGCCUUGUGUUCUGAUGUGCCCCUACUCUUGUCCCUUUAAUAUGCAUCAUGUAUUUUUCAGAAUGUGCUCUCCACUGUUGUGCAUGGAGCUGUGAGUUACAGAUGUUAAUAGGAUGUGGUAGAAAUUAGUUUUGAAAUUUCUGGUGAAGCAGAUUUUUCUGGAUACAGUCACAGGCUGGUGAAAUGAUCCACAAGUGGUGCUGAAUGUCUGUGAUUUCACUGUUUUGAAAAUAUACAUCCCAGGAGUGGGGCUGAUUGAAACAGCUGCAAAAAAUGGCACUUUUAUUUUAAGUGUUAAGGAGAGAUGACAAAGGGCAUUUUCUGCAAACUGAGGCUAGUGAACAUGUUG
Cyanistes caeruleus (blue tit) is the source of this 2573-nucleotide non-coding RNA. The record is from RefSeq and is a predicted model, not a curated record. Lineage: Eukaryota; Metazoa; Chordata; Aves; Passeriformes; Paridae.